UCUGACCUGCCCAAUGAAUAAUUUAAUGGCCGCGGUAUAUUAACCGUGCAAAGGUAGCAUAAUCAUUAGUUUUUUAAUUGAAGGCUAGAAUGAAGGGUUGAAUGAAAAAAUUACUGUCUCUAGAAGAAUUAUUUAGAAUUUAAUUUUUAAGUGAAAAGGCUUAAAUAUUUAUGAAAGACGAGAAGACCCUAUAGAGUUUUAUAUUAAUUUUAAGGUUGGUUUUUUAGAAUUAAGAAAAAAGGUUUAAGAGUAGUAUUUGAUUGGGGUGAUUAAAAAAUUAAAUUAACUUUUUUUUAUUUAAAACAUUUAUUUAUGAGUUUUUGAUCCUAGAAUAUAGAUUGAAAGAUUAAAUUAUCUUAGGGAUAACAGCGUAAUUUUUUUUARAGUUCUUAUCGAAAAAAGGGAUUGCGACCUCGAUGUUGGAUUAAAAAAUAAUUUUGGCGGARAAGCUAAAAUAUUAGGUCUGUUCGACCUUUAAAAUUUUACAUGAUCUGAGUUUAAACCGGCGUGAG
Molecule: ribosomal RNA, 512 nt
Filed under: Trigonopterus sp. 120 AR-2022a
Lineage: Eukaryota; Metazoa; Arthropoda; Insecta; Coleoptera; Curculionidae
Description: partial large subunit ribosomal RNA
Source: RNAcentral